Molecule: ribosomal RNA, 253 nt
Filed under: uncultured bacterium
Lineage: Bacteria
Description: partial 16S ribosomal RNA
Rfam family: Bacterial small subunit ribosomal RNA
Source: RNAcentral
UACGUAGGGACCGGGCGUUGUCCGGAUUCAUUGGGCGUAAAGAGCUCGUAGGCGGCUAUUCAAGUCGAACGUGAAAUCUCGGAGCUCAACUCCGAAACUGCGUUCGAUACUGGGUAGCUAGAGUCUGGUAGGGGGAUCUGGAAUUCCUGGUGUAGCGGUGGAAUGCGCAGAUAUCAGGAGGAACACCGGUGGCGAAGGCGGGAUCCUGGGCCAGUACUGACGCUGAGGAGCGAAAGCGUGGGGAGCAAACAGG